UCAGCAUCACCUGGGAAUUGGUUAGAAGUUCAAUUUUUUUGCUGUGGACAUGACCACACAACAUUUUCCCACUAGGUUUUCUUUCUGCUACAUUGCUAGCAUUCAGCCUAUUUGAAACAGUU
Molecule: small nucleolar RNA, 122 nt
Organism: Artibeus jamaicensis (Jamaican fruit-eating bat)
Lineage: Eukaryota; Metazoa; Chordata; Mammalia; Chiroptera; Phyllostomidae
Product: small nucleolar RNA SNORA32
Exons: 1
Source: RefSeq, a predicted model, not a curated record